UUUAAAAAAUGUUAUUUUAAAAUUAUUUUAGUUACAAAAUACAGUAAUUGUUAACCAAACUUUUUGCAAUGUGAAUUUUUCUUUGAGUAAUUUCAUCGCGUGUCCCUACAUUUUGCUCUCUGCUACGCUGUUUUUGUUUGCGGAUCAAAAAUCUUUGCUUUUGAGUCAAAAAGUUUUGGAUGCAAGUUACACGCGUCUCAGUGGGCGGGAUCAACCUAGUUGAAUGAAAGACCCAUUUCUAUUGGCCACUACUGUCACCAUUUGGCCACGCCCACCACGGAAGUCUGCCACCGAGGAGAGCGAUGAUGUGCUAUGGAGAGCGGCAUUGUUUGUAAGAUGAUUCUUCACUAGAGGUUACAUUGAAGUCAGGCAAUGACAGGAAGGAUGGCUGGGGAUUCCAAGAUCUGAUAAAAAAAAGUUACAUGAAGAUACUUGGACUACUCAUGGGACCAAAGAGCUAUUACACCAACUCCAGUCUGGAACCUGUCUCUAUCAGAUGACCCUACACAUAAGGAAAGUUGACAUCGGCCCUCACGAGGACUUCAAAACUGUUCAAAGCGCUAUACAAAUAAAUG
Non-coding RNA from Misgurnus anguillicaudatus (oriental weatherfish), 575 nucleotides. The record is from RefSeq and is a predicted model, not a curated record. NCBI's taxonomy places the organism in Eukaryota, Metazoa, Chordata, Actinopteri, Cypriniformes, Cobitidae.